This 1544-nucleotide ribosomal RNA is filed under the name metagenome. RNAcentral describes it as "bacterial LSU rRNA". It matches the Rfam family "Bacterial large subunit ribosomal RNA", at positions 1294 to 2925 of the family's 2925-position model. The record is from RNAcentral.
UGCCCGGGAUGAGUAGCGAGAAUUAUGUGAGAAUCAUAAUGGCCGAAAAUCUAAGGUUUCCUGAGGAAGGUUCGUCCGCUCAGGGUAAGCCGGGAGCUAAGGUGAGGCGGAAACGCGUAGCCGAUGCACAUACGGUAGAGAUUCCGUAGCCUCCGAAAAGUAAAGCACAGGGACGCUUCAGAAGUGUUACGCCGGGCGAUGGUAGCCCCGGUUGUAAAGGACACAAUUGAGUGGAAGGUAACUUGGAUGGAGACAAGAAAAGCUGUGUGUAUCUGGAAGGAGCCCGUACCGCAAACCGACACAGGUAGAUAGGAAGAAGAUUCUAAGGCCAGCGGGAGAAGGGUUGUUAAGGAACUCGGCAAGUUGACCCCGUAACUUCGGGAGAAGGGGUGCUUACGAAGGUAAGCCGCAGAGAAUAGGCCCGAGCGACUGGUUAGCAAAAACACAGCUCUAUGCUAAAUCGAAAGAUGACGUAUAUGGGGUGACACCUGCCCGGUGCUGGAAGGUUAAGAGGAGAUGUGAGAGCAUUGAAUUGAAGCCCCAGUAAACGGCGGCCGUAACAAUAACGGUCCUAAGGUAGCGAAAUUCCUUGUCAGGUAAGUUCUGACCCGCACGAAUGGUGUAACGAUUUGGGCACUGUCUCAACAACCUACCCGGCGAAAUUGUAGUAUCGGUGAAGAUGCCGGUUACCCGCGACUAGACGGAAAGACCCCAUGGAGCUUCACUGUAGCUUAAUAUUGAAUUUUGGUAUUUCAUGUACAGGAUAGGUGGGAGACUGGGAAAUACAGGCGUCAGCUUGUAUGGAGUCACUGUUGGGAUACCACUCUUGAGGUGCUGAAAUUCUAACCUGCGUCUUUGAAUCAAGACGGGGGACAUUGUUAGGUGGGCAGUUUGACUGGGGCGGUCGCCUCCAAAAGAGUAACGGAGGCGCUCAAAGGUUCGCUCAGCAUGGACGGAAACCAUGCCAAAGAGUGCAAACGCAAAAGCGAGCCUAACUGCGAGACUGACGGGUCGAGCAGUAACGAAAGUUGGAGUUAGUGAUCCGGCGGUAUGUGAGUGGAAAUGCCGUCGCUCAACGGAUAAAAGCUACCCUGGGGAUAACAGGCUGAUCUCCCCCAAGAGUCCACAUCGACGGGGAGGUUUGGCACCUCGAUGUCGGCUCAUCGCAUCCUGGGGCUGAAUUCGGUCCCAAGGGUUUGGCAGUUCGCCAAUUAAAGCGGUACGCGAGCUGGGUUCAGAACGUCGUGAGACAGUUCGGUCCCUAUCUGUCGUGGGCGUAGGAUAUUUGAAAGGAGCUGUCCCUAGUACGAGAGGACCGGGAUGGACGCACCUCUGGUGAACCAGUUGUCACGCCAGUGGCACGGCUGGGCAGCUAAGUGCGGAACGGAUAAACGCUGAAAGCAUCUAAGCGUGAAGCCGACCUUAAGAUAAGAUAUCCGUUCUUCGGAAUAAGGCCCCUUGUAGACUACGAGGUUGAUAGGCUUAAAGUGUAAGCAUGGUGACAUGUUUAGCUUGCAAGUACUAAUCGGUCGAUUGCUUUUCCG